This 1078-nucleotide unclassified non-coding RNA is filed under the name Thrips palmi. RNAcentral's name for it is "uncharacterized LOC117649805, transcript variant X1". Lineage: Eukaryota; Metazoa; Arthropoda; Insecta; Thysanoptera; Thripidae. The record is from RNAcentral.
UUUGGGACAGUUGAAACUCAGUCAUAGCCAUUUUUAACGUCUUAAAAAUUUGGUGAUUUGACCACACUUGAAAGUGGUACUGUACUUAACAUGAAAUCGACAUCGCAGUUCUAGCCUCAAAAAAUUUUGUUCAACCAGAACUCUAAUGACAUUAACGUCGUGACUACGAGGAUUUCGUGAAAUCGUAUUCUUUUUGUUUUGCGCAUGGUGGUACCUUGUAAUAAAGCGAACUGUUCUGAUUUCAGCAAACACAUUGGAUGAAAAGGAAACAUACUUCGAACGUCAUAUUGGAGGGCCCGGCGAGGAGAGCCUGGUUUACCUUUCAAGGAGAAUCAUGAGCUACACCAAGAGGGAUGACUGGCUCAUGAGCGAUGCCACUACUCCUCACCAGAAACACUUGGUGCUGAGCAGCAAUAUUGUGGCUCUCGCCAGAUGUGGUCAAGUACUCCCAUUGUGCUUCGCCGUCAUGUCGUCCAAGACUGGCCCAGCUUACGAGGCAAUUAUCAGAUUUCUCCGUGCGUUGGGUCUGGACGCAAAGAGCAUCAUGACAGACUGGGACGACGCCGAAAGAAAGGGACGGCGUGAUGGGUCGCCAGAUAUGAUUCUGAAGAUGUGAGACUGCUGAGCAUGGCGACGAAGAAGGUCAUGUGACGAGGACGCCGAGGACAGAACUGAACGGGGAUGGUGCGUCUGUUCAAUUAAUUUUAGCUUCAGGAAGGCCAUUGAGAGCAGGUCAGCAGGCCUCCGACGACAAGUUAAACGCCGCUCUGGGCAAGGCGCUCUACGUCGAGGUUGUGUCGAACGUCAAGGCCGAGCUGAAGGACUUCAAGGCCCUCCCCCCCAAGGCGCAGAAGCUCGUGGACGGCUGCCUCAAGAGCGCCGCCCUGCACGCCGCAGACAAGGACAGCACGGCCCGCGCAUUCUUCAACGAGUUCGCUGGCUGCGUCAACGGACACUCCGACGUGCCAGCCAGCUUUAAGAGCAGCGUCAAAAAAUUGGGCCAGGGUCUUUAGAGCGGCAGUGCCGUGACCGUUCCCGCCCGUUUUUCCCAAAAAUAAAUUCCCAAAUAUUGACUUUU